This 460-nucleotide ribosomal RNA is filed under the name uncultured bacterium. RNAcentral describes it as "partial 16S ribosomal RNA". It matches the Rfam family "Bacterial small subunit ribosomal RNA", at positions 338 to 795 of the family's 1533-position model. The record is from RNAcentral.
CCUACGGGAGGCAGCAGUGAGGAAUAUUGGUCAAUGGACGAGAGUCUGAACCAGCCAAGUAGCGUGAAGGAUGACUGCCCUAUGGGUUGUAAACUUCUUUUAUAUGGGAAUAAAACGUUCCACGUGUGGGAUUUUGUAUGUACCAUAUGAAUAAGGAUCGGCUAACUCCGUGCCAGCAGCCGCGGUAAUACGGAGGAUCCGAGCGUUAUCCGGAUUUAUUGGGUUUAAAGGGAGCGUAGGUGGAUUGUUAAGUCAGUUGUGAAAGUUUGCGGCUCAACCGUAAAAUUGCAGUUGAUACUGGCAGUCUUGAGUACAGUAGAGGUAGGCGGAAUUCGUGGUGUAGCGGUGAAAUGCUUAGAUAUCACGAAGAACUCCGAUUGCGAAGGCAGUUCACUAGACUGCAACUGACACUGAUGCUCGAAAGUGUGGGUAUCAAACAGGAUUAGAUACCCUUGUAGUC